Molecule: ribosomal RNA, 253 nt
Filed under: uncultured bacterium
Lineage: Bacteria
Description: partial 16S ribosomal RNA
Rfam family: Bacterial small subunit ribosomal RNA
Source: RNAcentral
UACAGAGGGUGCAAGCGUUAAUCGGAAUUACUGGGCGUAAAGCGUGCGUAGACGGUUAUGUAAGUCGGGUGUGAAAGCCCCGGGCUCAACCUGGGAAUGCCAUUCGAGACUGCAUAGCUAGGGUGCGGAAGAGGGAAGCGGAAUUUCCGGUGUAGCGGUGAAAUGCGUAGAUAUCGGAAGGAACAUCAGUGGCGAAGGCAGUGCCCUGGCCGACGGCUGACGCUCAGGCGCGAAAGCGUGGGGAGCAAACAGG